UAGGGAAUCUUCCGCAAUGGCCGCAAGUCUGACGGAGCAACGCCGCGUGAGUGAAGAAGGAUUUCGGUUCGUAAAACUCUGUUGUUAGAGAAGAACAGCGCAUAGAGUAACUGUUAUGCGUGUGGCGGUAUCUAACCAGAAAGCCACGGCUAACUACGUGCCAGCAGCCGCGGUAAUACGUAGGUGGCAAGCGUUGUCCGGAUUUAUUGGGCGUAAAGCGAGCUCAGGCGGUCAAUUAAGUCUGAUGUGAAAGCCCCCGGCUCAACCGGGGAGGGUCAUUGGAAACUGGUUGACUUGAGUGCAGAAGAGGAGAGUGGAAUUCCAUGUGUAGCGGUGAAAUGCGUAGAUAUAUGGAGGAACACCAGUGGCGAAGGCGACUCUCUGGUCUGUAACUGACGCUGAGGCUCGAAAGCGUGGGUAGCAAACAGG
This 429-nucleotide ribosomal RNA is filed under the name Bacteroidota bacterium. Its description in RNAcentral is "Bacteroidetes bacterium partial 16S ribosomal RNA". It matches the Rfam family "Bacterial small subunit ribosomal RNA", at positions 355 to 776 of the family's 1533-position model. The record is from RNAcentral. Lineage: Bacteria; Pseudomonadati; Bacteroidota.